GCUCCCCGCCGAGUCAGCAGAAGUCGGGGGCCGAGUCAGCACCAGUAGUGCUGACUCGCGCCCCCACUUCUGCUGACUCGGCCUCUACG
Molecule: small RNA, 89 nt
Filed under: Nocardioides lianchengensis
Lineage: Bacteria; Bacillati; Actinomycetota; Actinomycetes; Propionibacteriales; Nocardioidaceae
Description: microRNA MIR1846
Source: RNAcentral